CGGGGUCAACUCGGAGGAAGGUGGGGAUGACGUCAAAUCAUCAUGCCCCUUAUGUCUUGGGCUUCACGCAUGCUACAAUGGCCGGUACAAAGGGCUGCGAAACCGCAAGGUGGAGCGAAUCCCAAAAAGCCGGUCUCAGUUCGGAUUGGGGUCUGCAACUCGACCCCAUGAAGUCGGAAUCGCUAGUAAUCGCGGAUCAGCAUGCCGCGGUGAAUACGUUCCCGGGCCUUGUACACACCGCCCGUCAAGUCACGAAAGUCGGUAACACCCGAAGCCAGUGGCCCAA
RNAcentral lists this ribosomal RNA (286 nucleotides) under Prymnesium parvum. RNAcentral's name for it is "partial Bacterial small subunit ribosomal RNA". It matches the Rfam family "Bacterial small subunit ribosomal RNA", at positions 1153 to 1438 of the family's 1533-position model. The record is from RNAcentral. Lineage: Eukaryota; Haptophyta; Prymnesiales; Prymnesiaceae.